AGUCACAAGAGGAAUUAUGAGAGUGGCCUGGGUCUGGCUCCUGCAUAUGUCCUGAAAUGACUAAGAAGCAGAACCAGGUGGGCUGCGACCUGCUCCCAUUGCCACAAUUCCCAGCUGAAACUUGUGGAGAGAGCCAGACAGCUGUCUUGAAGAAAAACCUUUCUCUGAUCCACGAGCCCCUGGUUUGGAAAUGGAACAUGUGGAAGAUGCAAUGUCAAGUACUUGUGGAUGCAAUGAAUGAAGAAGGAACUCUCCUGGCUCUGGAAAACCAACCAGAAAGAGCAACACUGUUUUGGCCACAGCAGGAAGGACAAGUUACCCAGAAGAACCCCGGAAUGGCACCCCUAUGGGAGGGCCAGGAAAGGCCUAUGUCACAGCAGAUAUGGAUGGUUAUAGUGUAAACAUGCACACAACAUCCUCCUACCUUUCCCCCAGGGCAGUGGUGACCCACCUAUGGGACAUGUGCCAUUGUGUUUUUCUUCUAAUAGAAAAGAUGUUAAUGAAGAGCAGUUUUUUUCUAA
Molecule: long non-coding RNA, 521 nt
Filed under: Chinchilla lanigera (long-tailed chinchilla)
Lineage: Eukaryota; Metazoa; Chordata; Mammalia; Rodentia; Chinchillidae
Description: lncRNA (ENSCLAG00000025385.1)
Source: RNAcentral